AGGCUCUUCAAAUCACUAGGAAUAAGGAAAUUUGAAAAUUUUUCAAUUUCCGUUGUCAUCUCCAUGAUUCGAUUUUCUUCAGUCUCCACUGAAGUUUUUAUGGCUUAAUUUUCUUUGUUUACUAGGAUAGAUAUUUCAAGAUUGCUAUUCUCAUUAUCAUCUACUUCAGCUUCUUUCUCUAGACGAGAUUCUUCAACAUGUAUUUCUUGAACAUGUUCUUCCACAUGUAAAGGCUCAACAAUACAAAGCUUCAAAUGAUUCAGGCUCAAGUUCUUCAAUUUCAAAUUUAAGUUGAUCUUCAAAUUCUUCUUCUUGUUUGUCAUCUUUCUCUUCAACUUCA
RNAcentral lists this unclassified non-coding RNA (340 nucleotides) under Hevea brasiliensis (rubber tree). The record is from RNAcentral. Lineage: Eukaryota; Viridiplantae; Streptophyta; Magnoliopsida; Malpighiales; Euphorbiaceae.